Molecule: ribosomal RNA, 1722 nt
Filed under: Triticum aestivum (bread wheat)
Lineage: Eukaryota; Viridiplantae; Streptophyta; Magnoliopsida; Poales; Poaceae
Description: partial small subunit ribosomal RNA
Source: RNAcentral
AUGUCCUUCGCGGGUUUAUCUGUCAUCGCCGACGGCAAGAUCCUGAGCAAAGCAGCCUCACCUGCCAUAGCUGGCACUAGCGGGUACCAUUUGCUUGUCGUCGAAGGCCUCUCGCGCACUCCAGCGGGCGAGCCCUUUUUGUCACGCUGCAUCACAGUCGGAGGCACUCAUUUGCAUAUCCUCUGCUACCCCAACGGCAAUAACACUGACAACGCCGGCUUCAUCUCACUUAGUAUUUUCCUCCGAAAGGUAGCCACUGGAACCGAAGAGCCCGUGAAGGCGCAGGUCGAGUUCAGUUUCGUGGACGAGACGGAGAAGCAGGAGCCGGCACGCAUCCAUGCAAGCAGAGUACUCGAGUUCCAACUCUGGGAGGAGACAGAAGAAUUCCACAAGUUCGUGCGAAGGGACGUCCUGGAGAAAUCCAAACACUUCAAGGACGACAGCUUCACCAUCCGCUGCGACAUCGUAGUCCUAGAUCCGAUAUGCGUCGACACUUUGGCCUCUAUCGUAGUGCCGCCGUCGGACAUGCAAAGAAACUUCAACGACCUUCUCAUUGCAGGGGAGGGCGCCGAUGUUACCUUCCAGGUCGGCGGUGAGACGUUUGCCGCACACCGCUGCGUCCUCGCUGCACGCUCUACCGUCUUCAAGGCAGCUCUCUUUGGCCACAUGAAGGAAGGCACGUCGUCGGCCGUCGUGCAGAUAGACGACAUGGACGCGGCGGUGUUCAAGGCAAUGCUCGGGUUCAUCUACGGAGACUCGCUGCCCGUGCCAAGGACGGAUGAGAACGAGGGCGAGGGGGUCCUGCUGCAACACCUGCUCGUCGCGGCGGACAGGUACGACCUCCGAAGGCUUAGAGCGAUGUGCGAGAAGAAACUCCACAUCGAAGUGGGCACGCUGACCACCAUCCUGGCACUCGCCGAGCAACACGACUGUGUCUGGCUGAAGAAGGCAAGCUAUGAGUUUCUCCGUAGCCCGCCGAACCUGAGGGCUGUCGUAGAGACAGAAGGGUUUGAACAUCUGUGCAGCAGCUGCCCCACUCUUAUGAAGGACAUGCUCCUUGGCGUGCUGCCGCCUAAUUAUUUCACAAUUCGGUGUGAUGUCAUUGUUGUGGCGGGGGAUGUGAUCCCCACCACCACUUCUCCCUUCAUCACGGUGCCGCCCUCCGACAUGCAACAGAAUUUCACCGACCUUCUCGUGGCUGGAGAGGGUACAGAUGUGGUCUUCCAGGUCGGUAACGAGGCUUUGGCCGCCCACCGGUGCAUCCUUGCGGCCCGCUCUACCGUCUUCAGGGCGGCCCUCUUCGGCCCCAUGAAGAAAGGCACAUCUCCGACGGUGGUUCAGGUGGAUGACAUGAAUGGGACGGUGUUUAAGGCGAUGCUAGGUUUCAUCUAUGGUGACACGCUACCUUUCCCUGCGGCAGACAAAAACGAAGGCGUCCUGCUGCAGCACCUACUCGUGGCGGUGGACAGGUACGACCUCCGGAGGCUGAGAUUGAUGUGCGAGAAGAAGCUGUGCGAGCACAUCCGUGUGGGCACAGCGACGACCAUUCUGGCCCUUGCGGACCUGCACCACUGUGACGGGCUGAAGAAGGCGUGCUAUGAGUUUCUCCGAUAUCCGGCGAACCUGAGGGCGGUUGUGGAGACGGAAGGUUUUGAACAUCUCUGCAGCAGUUACCCCACUCUUAUGAAGGACAUGCUCCUCGGCGUGCUGCCUUCUAAGUAG